AGAGAUCAUGGCUCAGAUUGAACGCUGGCGGCAUGCCUUACACAUGCAAGUCGAACGGCAGCGCGGGGCAACCUGGCGGCGAGUGGCGAACGGGUGAGUAAUAUAUCGGAACGUACCCUGGAGUGGGGGAUAACGUAGCGAAAGUUACGCUAAUACCGCAUACGAUCUAAGGAUGAAAGUGGGGGAUCGCAAGACCUCAUGCUCCUGGAGCGGCCGAUAUCUGAUUAGCUAGUUGGUGGGGUAAAGGCCUACCAAGGCAUCGAUCAGUAGCUGGUCUGAGAGGACGACCAGCCACACUGGAACUGAGACACGGUCCAGACUCCUACGGGAGGCAGCAGUGGGGAAUUUUGGACAAUGGGCGAAAGCCUGAUCCAGCAAUGCCGCGUGAGUGAAGAAGGCCUUCGGGUUGUAAAGCUCUUUUGUCAGGGAAGAAACGGUGAAGGCUAAUAUCCUUUGCUGAUGACGGUACCUGAAGAAUAAGCACCGGCUAACUACGUGCCAGCAGCCGCGGUAAUACGUAGGGUGCAAGCGUUAAUCGGAAUUACUGGGCGUAAAGCGUGCGCAGGCGGUUUUGUAAGUCUGUCGUGAAAUCCCCGGGCUCAACCUGGGAAUUGCGAUGGAGACUGCAAGGCUAGAAUCUGGCAGAGGGGGGUAGAAUUCCACGUGUAGCAGUGAAAUGCGUAGAGAUGUGGAGGAACGCCGAUGGCGAAAGCAGCCCCCUGGGUCAAGAUUGACGCUCAUGCACGAAAGCGUGGGGAGCAAACAGGAUUAGAUACCCUGGUAGUCCACGCCCUAAACGAUGUCUACUAGUUUGUCGGGUUUAAUUNAACUUGGUAAU
This 838-nucleotide ribosomal RNA is filed under the name uncultured Oxalobacteraceae bacterium. Its description in RNAcentral is "bacterial SSU rRNA". It matches the Rfam family "Bacterial small subunit ribosomal RNA", at positions 8 to 846 of the family's 1533-position model. Lineage: Bacteria; Pseudomonadati; Pseudomonadota; Betaproteobacteria; Burkholderiales; Oxalobacteraceae. The record is from RNAcentral.